AGGAAAAAAGUUCAGUUUAGGGUUUAAAACCCUAAUGCUGACUGAAGGAAAAGAGUUCAGUUUAGGGUUUAAAACCCUAAUGCUGACUGAAGGAAAAGAGUUUAGUUUAGGGUUUAAAUCCCUAAUGUUGACUGAAGGAAAAGAGUUCAGUUUAGGGUUUAAAACCCUAAUGCUGACUGAAAGGAAAAAGUUUAGUUUAGGGUUUAAAACCCUAAUGCUGACUAAAUGGAAAAAGUUCAGUUUAGGGUUUAAAACCCUAAUGCUGACUAAAGGAAAGAGUUCAAUUUAGGGUUUAAAACCUUAAUGCUGGCUAAAGGAAAGAGUUCAGUAUAGGGUUUUAAAACCCUAAUGCUGACUGAAUGGAAAGAGUUCAGUUUAGGGUUUAAAACCCUAAUGCUAACUAAAUAGAAAAAGUUUAGUUUAGGGUUUAAAACCCUAAUGCUGACUAAA
Molecule: long non-coding RNA, 450 nt
Filed under: Nicotiana tabacum (common tobacco)
Lineage: Eukaryota; Viridiplantae; Streptophyta; Magnoliopsida; Solanales; Solanaceae
Description: long non-coding RNA (NTAB_LNC003344)
Source: RNAcentral